This 486-nucleotide ribosomal RNA is filed under the name Triticum aestivum (bread wheat). RNAcentral describes it as "partial small subunit ribosomal RNA". Lineage: Eukaryota; Viridiplantae; Streptophyta; Magnoliopsida; Poales; Poaceae. The record is from RNAcentral.
AUGCCCCCUUCGGUGGAGCUCCGAAACAGGCCCCAAGAUCGAAUCUCGUGGAUACAGAAAGUUACGGCGGUGGAAUUAGGGUUUAUUCACACAAAGAAAUACCUGCCACGUGCAGUUGUCAUGCUUGUGGUCGAUUCAGCCGGGGAACAACAACGCCGUCGUCGCCGGUGGCAUGGAUACCAUGUCCAAUGCCCCCAAAUACGCUGCAACAGCAAGAUAGAAGAUAGCAACGGAGUGGAUAUGGAUGACUAUCUGAAAGUAUGCAGGUUUCUUUCCAAACUUAACAACGGGAUACUAGGGGUGAUCGACGUGGACUACCGCGACCUGGUGGGCAUCGUGCUCUUCAACCACUCGGAGACGGACUUCGCUGUGAAGCCCGGCGACCGCAUCAUAGAGAUGAUUGUCCAGGUGAUUGCGGCGCCGGAGGUCGCCGAGGUGGAGGACCUUGACGCCACCGUACGGAGUCGUCGAGGUGGAGUACCUUGA